Molecule: ribosomal RNA, 1091 nt
Filed under: uncultured organism
Description: partial small subunit ribosomal RNA
Source: RNAcentral
UCUCCUGUGCGGCCCCUAUUGCCGGGCUUGAUUUCCACGUACUCGAACGACUCCUUACGUGAUCCGGCGAAUUUUUACACCUUGAGGCUUAAGCGAUCGGAUGGGGUAAAAUUUGCGUCAUCCCACCCCCUCAUGCGGUCGGCACCAGGAAUUCUCCGAUAAGACCCUUGUGGUCCAUGGUACGUACGCGGANUCGGACUACAAUGUUCCCACCAAGCGUUGUGGAAAGCCUCGCAGGNAGGCACCUGUGUUCCNCCAGGUACCAUCCACCUUAUCAGGCGAGAGAGAGGCCCAGGCCAUGGUCGGGCGAGCAGACUUAUUUUAGGGAACCCACAAUGGUGAGACUGUACACAGGACUCUUAGAACUGCCCUAUUGCCCAACUCGCCUCAGCCGGUUAGUUUNGAUCGCAGACGAAGACGUGGUCCUUGUGCCGAGCAGUUUAGGUUAUAAAGGCCCAGCGGUUUGUCANUAGUAUUUUGCGUGUACGAGGAGAUGAGCGCCGANUGCUAAUUGAUGUCACCAUAACAANGUUUAAUNUUAGUUUUCUUUCGGAGCCGCUUGUUACUCUCAUACUCACGCCAUAGUAACAGGACNACACGGAAGCCUUAAAUACACUAUCCCGCUCGNCGCAAAGGGGCACGCUUCCGNUGUCGUAUCAUCUCAACCGCCAGAGNCGCGUUGGCGCAAUAGGCGGAAUCUUAAAUGCCGUGUGACAGUCUCACCUAGUGUGCCUCGCUUAAANAAGAUCGUCCGCCCGUUUCAUUGGCUAGGGCUCUCUCACCCCNGAUAUGAUUGUGAGGUGCGUGGUUGGGACACAUGCUCGCUCCGUGCGGACCUUCCCACACACCUUGGGUGGGGACACUCUGGGCUCGUGCUCCCAGUUCAUACCUUAGAACAUUGCCAAGGCCCUUAACCCAUGGUUAUUCCGGGGUUCUAAACCACGUGUGGUUGAUAGGUAGCGCCAACAUUUUUUCACCCCUUUGCUUAGCUUCAAGACCCGUGAAUAGCCAUAAAAAUUUGGCCAGGUAACACUAAAUUCAGUGGACGCCGGAACAUGCCGCAAAAACAAAACGCCACAGAUUGGAAGGGC